RNAcentral lists this ribosomal RNA (510 nucleotides) under uncultured bacterium. RNAcentral describes it as "partial 16S ribosomal RNA". It matches the Rfam family "Bacterial small subunit ribosomal RNA", at positions 28 to 507 of the family's 1533-position model. The record is from RNAcentral.
GACGAACGCUGGCGGCGUGCUUAACACAUGCAAGUCGAACGAAGAGCGAUGGAAGCUUGCUUCUAUCACUCUUAGUGGCGAACGGGUGAGUAACGCGUAAUCAACCUGCCCUUCAGAGGGGGACAACAGUUGGAAACGACUGCUAAUACCGCAUACGAUCUAACCUCGGCAUCGAGGAUAGAUGAAAGGUGGCCUCUACAUGUAAGCUAUCACUGAAGGAGGGGAUUGCGUCUGAUUAGCUAGUUGGAGGGGUAACGGCCCACCAAGGCGAUGAUCAGUAGCCGGUCUGAGAGGAUGAACGGCCACAUUGGGACUGAGACACGGCCCAGACUCCUACGGGAGGCAGCAGUGGGGAAUCUUCCGCAAUAGACGAAAGUCUGACGGAGCAACGCCGCGUGAGUGAUGACGGCCUUCGGGUUGUAAAGCCCUGUUAAUCGGGACGAAAGGCCUUCUUGCGAAUAGUUAGAAGGAUUGACGGUACCGGAAUAGAAAGCCACGGCUAACUACGUG